CCUACGGGUGGCAGCAGUAGGGAAUAUUGCGCAAUGGACGGAAGUCUGACGCAGCGACGCCGCGUGAGCGAUGAAGGUCUUCGGAUCGUAAAGCUCUGUCCUUGGGGAAGAAGGUCUUCGGACUUGACGGUACCCAAGAAGAAAGCCCCGGCUAACUACGUGCCAGCAGCCGCGGUAAUACGUAGGGGGCAAGCGUUAUCCGGAAUUACUGGGCGUAAAGGGUGCGUAGGCGGUUUAUCAAGUCAGGGGUGAAAGGCUACGGCUCAACCGUAGUGAGCCUCUGAAACUGGUGAACUUGAGUGUAGGAGAGGAAAGUGGAAUUCCCAGUGUAGCGGUGAAAUGCGUAGAUAUUGGGAGGAACACCAGUGGCGAAGGCGACUUUCUGGACUACAACUGACGCUGAGGCACGAAAGCGUGGGGAGCAAACAGGAUUAGAUACCCUGGUAGUCAC
RNAcentral lists this ribosomal RNA (451 nucleotides) under uncultured bacterium. RNAcentral describes it as "bacterial SSU rRNA". It matches the Rfam family "Bacterial small subunit ribosomal RNA", at positions 338 to 798 of the family's 1533-position model. The record is from RNAcentral.